Molecule: ribosomal RNA, 473 nt
Filed under: uncultured bacterium
Lineage: Bacteria
Description: bacterial SSU rRNA
Rfam family: Bacterial small subunit ribosomal RNA
Source: RNAcentral
AGCGAACGCUGGCGGCGUGGAUAAGGCAUGCAAGUCGAGCGAUCCCGCAAGGGAUAGCGGCAAACGGGUGAGUAACGCGUAGGUAAUUUGCCCUCGAAUCUGGGAUAACUCCGCGAAAGCGGGGCUAAUACCGGACAGUCCCACUGCAUCGCAUGGUGUGGUGGGUAAAGGUGGCGCGCCCGCAAGGGUGCUACUGUUCGAGGAGGGACCUGCGCUCCAUCAGCUAGUUGGUAGGGUUACGGCCUACCAAGGCGACGACGGAUAGCUGGCUUGAGAGAGUGGUCAGCCACACUGGGACUGAGACACUGCCCAGACUCCUACGGGAGGCUGCAGUCGAGAAUCUUUGGCAAUGGGCGAAAGCCUGACCAUGCGACGCCGCGUGCGGGAUGAAGGCCUUCGGGUCGUAAACCGCUGUCACGAGGGACGAAGUCCAGUGUGGUGAAUAACCGCAUUGGAUGACGUACUCGAGAGAG